GGUUAGUUGAUUAAUAGGAGAGAUUGGGUCUCCGGUUUGUGUCAAUAGACCC
RNAcentral lists this transfer RNA (52 nucleotides) under Pomphorhynchus rocci. Its description in RNAcentral is "tRNA-Gln". Lineage: Eukaryota; Metazoa; Acanthocephala; Palaeacanthocephala; Echinorhynchida; Pomphorhynchidae. The record is from RNAcentral.